Entelurus aequoreus (snake pipefish) is the source of this 2110-nucleotide long non-coding RNA. RefSeq lists it as uncharacterized. The transcript has 3 exons. NCBI's taxonomy places the organism in Eukaryota, Metazoa, Chordata, Actinopteri, Syngnathiformes, Syngnathidae. The record is from RefSeq and is a predicted model, not a curated record.
UCCAAAUGAAGCAUUGCUAAUAUAGAUUAAAAGUGAAUCAUAAUGAAUCCACAGCAGCCCUGUGAUUAAUCUAAACGUUUGUUUCUGUACUUCGCACCUGAUUAUCAGGUUUGGGUAGAGAUAGCAUAGACUCAUAACUUACAUUUAUGAAAAAGUGUUUCAAAGCAACCUCAGUUCACGUAUUUUGUCUUAGAGUGAAACUGUGACUUUUGUAGGUGUUAGCAUUGCAGCUAGCCAGCCCCCUCCAUCAAGUAUGAAAGGGGGCUGAGAAUCACACUUGUUUUGGCUUGUUGACAAUCAUAGCUUUUUGAGUGCACCCACACACACUUGAAGCAAGACGGUAGCCGCCUUGGCCCUCAGUAGACCAGGAGAACCGUGUCUGCCAGAUCCUUCAGCUGUAACUCCAAACAUUUUCAUGAAAUGUGAAUUAUGUAGAACCAACAAACUGUUAACGUCCUAACGUUUUUUUCCUUCUGUUUUUAGUUGGAAGAUUUGUGACGGCCCCCAGAUGAUGCACUGAAAAAAGCGAAACACGACCGCAGAAGUAUAAACCAAUGUCCACACUGGCCACAGACAAGCAGACACGUCCGAGAAGAAUGCAAGGGCGACGGCCUGGCAAGAGGAAGACGUGGGAUGAGGAGGAGGUUUCUGCUGUGGAAAGACCCAUGAUGUCCUUUAUCACAACAUGCCGGGUACCUGGUAAAACUGAUUGUGAUAACUGUUUGGACUUGGAGACAACAGCUCUUCCAAACAGGAAUUGGCUUGACAUUAAAUCUUAUGUCAAAAAUCGCCAUUACAGCUUUGAGAAAAGGAGGUUUGAAGCGGUAGUUGGCGAUGAAAUGUUUUGUUUUAUUGAGCCCACAUAAAGUUCCCCGUCUCUACAUAGCAGAAGAACAAGAAUGUUUUUCCACUUAUAGUUUUGAGUCAGUUUCAUUUAAAUCAGGGGUCUCAAACUCAAUUUACCUGGGGGCCACUGGAUGCAGAAACUGGGUGAGGCUAGGCCGCAGGAAAAGAUUUCUUAAAAAAAUCUAACAUGCACUUUUUAAUGAAUUCACCUUCUUUGAAUGGCUUUCCCGCCCUAGCAACAUACUUGCCAACACUCCCGAUUUUUCCGGGAGACUCCCGAAUUUCAGUGCCCCUCCCGACAAUCUCCCGGGGCAACCAUUCUCCCGAAUUUGUCCCGAUUUUCACCCGGACAACAUUAUUAAGGGCGUGCCGUGAAAGCACUGCCUUUAACGUCCUCUACAACUUCUCGUCGCAUCCGCUUUUUCACCAUACAAACAGCGUGCCGGCCCAGUCACAUGUUGUAUGAGGCUUCUGCAGACACACGUAAGUGAGGGUGGCCGUAUAAACAAGUUUAUCACUGUUACAAAUAUGUGCCACACUGUGAACCCACACCAAACAAGAAUGACAAACACAUUUCGGGAGAACAUCCGCACCGUAACACAACAUAAACACAACAGAACAAAUACCCAGAACACCUUGCAGCCCUAACUCUUCCGGGCUGCAAUAUACACCCUCGCUACCACCAAACCCCGCCCCCCCAACCCCGCCCACUUCACCCGAAGCACAGGGGGGGGGGGGGGUGUGGGGGGCCCGCGGGCCGCAAUUGGCGACCCCUGAUUUAAAUGAUUGAUUCAUAUUGUAAUGCUAAUGUUUUAAAAAAUCUGCUUGAGUUUGCAAAACAAUGUUUUGAUAUAAUUUAUUUUUCUUGCAUGAUAGCAGGGCUGUCCAACUAUUAAAAAUAGAUCAAUGUCUGUCUGUCACUUAAGAUGGCUCGUUGUGAUUGAAAGCUUAGACAUGGCAUCAUGGGAACUGACUGAGAGAGUUAUGUGUUGCAACUUGGUCUAACGGACUUAAAAAAUACGAGGAGAGACUUUGCACUUCAAAUCACGCAUUUUUGUGUCUUAUCAAUUCAACUCACAUAUUCAAAUUCAUAUAAAGUAUGAAUAUUUACCUUAGUACUCUCUUUCAGUGACUAUUAUCUUAUUUGCACCUUACAAAUAAUAUGCUCAAAUAAAUGUUCAACAGUAUCAAUGUUUAAGGUCCCUACAAAGUAAGUUAAACUUGAAUGUGUGUCAAAGGGUCCAAAGUAAGAGACAAAUCUAAA